Molecule: long non-coding RNA, 1142 nt
Organism: Cyprinus carpio carpio
Lineage: Eukaryota; Metazoa; Chordata; Actinopteri; Cypriniformes; Cyprinidae
Source: Ensembl
GCUAUCAAACUCUUGCAGCAACACGAAAAUUCAGCCUUUUUCGGCAUGAGAAUCUUUACAGAUUUCUGAAUGCGAUUUUUCUGUUCAGACAAAUGCAUAAAAACAGACCUUAUACUUAGUAUUUAUUUUUCAGUUCUAUUCAUGGAACAAACCAGCCUUUCUCAAAGAAGAAGAAAAAAAAAAACUUCUCUUUGAAACUUUUAUUUGUUGUUUGAUGAAGAAUAAGGCCAGACAACUAGUUAUUUCCAACCUCUGUUUUGAUGUUUCUUCUAGGAUAUCUUGAUGUUUGAAGCUACAACAGCAAAGCCUUUGAUAAGAUGUUCUUGGUCACACUUCAAAAGGGAAAAGAUGCUGAACUAAUGUCAGUUCACCUGCAAGACAGUAAUAACAGGGUGAUGACAGGGGUCGACCAUGGGACACAUGACUUUAUGGGAGACCAUGUUUGUAUCAUAAGUUGAUGUCAAAGAGUUAGAGAGCGGUUCAUGGAAAUUAUUAGCUCUUCUCUUUAUUUCAUUUAAUCUCAUUAAUGAAGCACAACAGCUAUGUAUAGUAAAAUGGAAUUCAACAAUCACCCAAUUAAUCCUUAUAAUGUUUGUAUCAAAUGUGACACAUACACAUACAUUUAUCAAGAAAUGAAAUCAUGUUGUCAUUGACCUGGAAAUGUCUAAACUGAUUUGAAAGAAAACUGCAUUCAAAAACAAGAAGUGUUUGAUCGGAAGGCCUCAGGCAGUGUUUAAACUUGCAGUAUGCUGAAGGUAUGAUAAAUCUUUGGAAUGUCUUUCAGCCAUGAGCUUUAGUUUUAUGUUUCCUCUCUCAAAGCAAAGACAUCUCCUGGAAACUAUGCCAGAAUACACUUUACUUCUGCCAGGGCAAGACUCACUUGUCUACUGGUGCCUACUCAGUAUGUCAGUGUGUCAAGGACUGAGGGGCUUUUAUAGGGGCUUAUAAAAAGAAUGACAGCUGGGAUAUGGGACUACAUUCACAUGCAGCUACUAAAGGGAAUGCCCCUCGUCAAACCACACUUUCAUAGAAUGUUUUUUUUUUUUUUAACUGAAUGGAACAGAAUGGACAGGUCUGCAACACAUCUUGAAGUUGAACUGUUUUUCAUUGAUACUUUGAUAUCUUUAAAAGCAUGGCACUGA